Molecule: non-coding RNA, 226 nt
Filed under: Paraburkholderia fungorum
Lineage: Bacteria; Pseudomonadati; Pseudomonadota; Betaproteobacteria; Burkholderiales; Burkholderiaceae
Description: sRNA Bp1_Cand871_SIPHT
Rfam family: Burkholderia sRNA Bp1_Cand871_SIPHT
Source: RNAcentral
UCGCCCACAAUGCCCUCAACGGUUUCAACACGGAUGUGGCUGGGUGCGUGGUGUGAGCGGAUACGAUGCACUUGCCGGUCGGCGUAAGCCGAAGCCCUGUGAAGGGGCAUCCCUGCUGGGGCCGUAGUCGACGCAGGGUCGUCGUCUCAGUUGGUUCCAUCUUUGGUCUCCUCGCGCUAACCCCGUAGCGUGUGGUUUUUAGCGGGCUCCAGGCCCGCUUUUUUUU